GGCUCAGAACGAACGCUGGCGGCAGGCUUAACACAUGCAAGUCGAGCGCCUCGCAAGAGGAGCGGCAGACGGGUGAGUAACGCGUGGGAAUCUACCCAUCUCUACGGAACAACUCCGGGAAACUGGAGCUAAUACCGUAUACGUCCUUCGGGAGAAAGAUUUAUCGGAGAUGGAUGAGCCCGCGUUGGAUUAGCUAGUUGGUGGGGUAAUGGCCUACCAAGGCGACGAUCCAUAGCUGGUCUGAGAGGAUGAUCAGCCACAUUGGGACUGAGACACGGCCCAAACUCCUACGGGAGGCAGCAGUGGGGAAUAUUGGACAAUGGGCGAAAGCCU
Molecule: ribosomal RNA, 333 nt
Filed under: Mesorhizobium sp. R-46045
Lineage: Bacteria; Pseudomonadati; Pseudomonadota; Alphaproteobacteria; Hyphomicrobiales; Phyllobacteriaceae
Description: bacterial SSU rRNA
Rfam family: Bacterial small subunit ribosomal RNA
Source: RNAcentral